Molecule: ribosomal RNA, 539 nt
Filed under: uncultured bacterium
Lineage: Bacteria
Description: bacterial SSU rRNA
Rfam family: Bacterial small subunit ribosomal RNA
Source: RNAcentral
AAUAGAUACCCAGGUAGUCCACGCCGUAAACGAUGGAUGCUAGCUGUUAUGAGUAUCGACCCUUGUAGUAGCGAAGCUAACGCGUUAAGCAUCCCGCCUGUGGAGUACGAGCGCAAGCUUAAAACAUAAAGGAAUUGACGGGGACCCGCACAAGCGGUGGAGCGUGUUGUUUAAUUCGAUGAUAAGCGAAGAACCUUACCAAGGCUUGACAUCCCUGGAAGGUCUCCGAAAGGAGACUGUGCCUUCGGGAAUCAGGUGACAGGUGAUGCAUGGCCGUCGUCAGCUCGUGUCGUGAGAUGUUUGGUUAAGUCCAUCAACGAGCGCAACCCUUGUAAAUAGUUGAAUUUUUCUAUUUAGACUGCCUCGGUAACGGGGAGGAAGGAGGGGAUGAUGUCAGGUCAGUAUUUCCCUUAUGCCUUGGGCUACAAACACGCUACAAUGGCCGGUACAAAGGGCAGCCAGCCCGCGAGGGGGAGCAAAUCCCAUCAAAACCGGCCCCAGUUCGGAUAGCAGGCUGAAACUCGCCUGCUUGAAGUCGG